RNAcentral lists this transfer RNA (72 nucleotides) under Araneus ventricosus. RNAcentral describes it as "tRNA-Pro". Lineage: Eukaryota; Metazoa; Arthropoda; Arachnida; Araneae; Araneidae. The record is from RNAcentral.
GGGUUCGGCCGGUAUUUGAACCCGGGACCUCUCGCACCCUAAGCGAGAAACAUACCCCUAGACCACCGAACC